AUGUUGUGAUAGAAGGCCCCUAGUGGCUUGUGGAUUUUUUGAGUUUUACUUUCUAGUGUAGAGAUUGAAAAUAAAUAUAAAGUGUGAAUGAAUUGCAGAACCUGAAUUAUUAUAAGACGAAAGCAACGAGACAGUACUGCGGUGAACAAGAGAAGGCAUCAGUAUGAUGAAAAGGAUAAGAUGCCAUAUAGCGCAAAUACAACACCUACACCACAAACCCUUCCCAACACCACCAUGUCAAAGACAGGUCAUUCUGCAGAUCAGUGGCACAGUACACCAAAACAAAAGCAGAUUUACAAGUCCUCAGAAGGAAAGUCAUCUUCAGCCUCACAGUUAAAC
Molecule: long non-coding RNA, 339 nt
Organism: Polyodon spathula (Mississippi paddlefish)
Lineage: Eukaryota; Metazoa; Chordata; Actinopteri; Acipenseriformes; Polyodontidae
Exons: 4
Source: RefSeq, a predicted model, not a curated record